GUGCAUUGUAGUUGCAUUGCAUUUGUUUGAAACGAAAUGUGCAAUGUUUCUACACUGCAACCG
This 63-nucleotide microRNA precursor is filed under the name Eisenia fetida (common brandling worm). RNAcentral describes it as "Efe-Mir-33_pre stem-loop". It matches the Rfam family "mir-33 microRNA precursor family", at positions 6 to 66 of the family's 69-position model. The record is from RNAcentral. Lineage: Eukaryota; Metazoa; Annelida; Clitellata; Crassiclitellata; Lumbricidae.